AGCGAACGCUGGCGGCAGGCCUAAUACAUGCAAGUCGAGCGGUCCCUUCGGGGGCAGCGGCGGACGGGUGAGUAACGCGUGGGAACGUGCCCUUUGGUACGGAACAACUGAGGGAAACUUCAGCUAAUACCGUAUGUGCCCUUCGGGGGGAAAGAUUUAUCGCCAUUGGAGCGGCCCGCGUUGGAUUAGGUAGUUGGUGA
This 200-nucleotide ribosomal RNA is filed under the name uncultured bacterium. RNAcentral describes it as "partial 16S ribosomal RNA". It matches the Rfam family "Bacterial small subunit ribosomal RNA", at positions 29 to 255 of the family's 1533-position model. The record is from RNAcentral.